CGCGGGGUGGAGCAGCACGGUAGCUCGUCGGGCUCAUAACCCGAAGGUCGCAGGUUCAAAUCCUGUCCCCCGCAACCA
This 78-nucleotide transfer RNA is filed under the name Bacillus cereus. RNAcentral's name for it is "tRNA-Met". It matches the Rfam family "tRNA". Rfam says of the family: Transfer RNA (tRNA) molecules are approximately 80 nucleotides in length. Their secondary structure includes four short double-helical elements and three loops (D, anti-codon, and T loops). Lineage: Bacteria; Bacillati; Bacillota; Bacilli; Caryophanales; Bacillaceae. The record is from RNAcentral. RNAcentral also lists the same sequence under 2 other names.